AUAACGUUAUGAUGUCUUAUAGUUUACGGUUAUUUUCUUCCAUCUGUAGCUUGUCGUUCAGUUUAUUUUUGGUGUCUUUUGUCUCACAAAGUUUUUACCUUUUGUGAAGUCAGAUCUACCAAUGUUUUCCUUUACGGCUUCUGGAUUUUGUGUAUGGAUUGAGAAAGAUUUUAAACCCAGUUUUUAGGGCAUACGGAGGACUGAAAUUGCAAUGUGCUAUAAGGAAAUGGCAGUUUCCUAAAAACGUCAAGCUCAUCUCCUCCCAAAUGAGCCGCAGGAAGAGACUCUCCCUGUGCUUGCUCUUCCCAGAGGCACUCCCGCUGCUCUGUGACUGUCCCAGGUUGUCUGCCUCCUUUUUAACAGUGAGCAUGGUGGGGGCGGGAUGAAAACUUUGUUCACUACUAAGGAAGAGUAAUGGACAGUAAACACAGAGAACACAGGACUUUGAAACAGGCUGGCCUAUCAGCGUGUAAGGCUUUGGUUCUGUAACUAGCUUGAUCUGCGGGACUUAGGAGCUCCACCCCACUUCGUGUGAAUUUUGUCCGUUUCUUUUCUCUGUCUCCUCAUUCGCAGCCCAUUUCUAAGUGGUUGGUAUCAACUUAACAUCCAGUACCCAGCACUACCUACCUAGCUGUCCUGACACUUCAUAGUCCAAACUGAGGGAAGAGGGCUCCCUCUGUGGUCUACCUGAGACCUACCUGCUCUGUUCUUGUUUUUAACCUGAGGGAUCUACCUCUUCCCCAGGAAUUAAUCCACCCAUCAGAUACAACCUUACCCUCUCCACCCACAAUUAGGGCUGUAAAAGGACCAUUUUUUGUCUUUCCAUGUGGCACUUGCAAUUACUUGUUUAAUGAUAAUAAUUACUAUUAUGUAUAGGGCUCACUAUGUGCUAGGCAAUGUGCUUUUUAGAAAUUAUCUCACUUUUCAAAACAGCCUUUUACUAAUGGUAAUAUUACUAUGUCUAUUUUCCAGAUGAUGUAAUAGGUACUUAAUAGGUACUCAGAUAUAUGAUAAUGGAAUGAAUGAAUGGAUGGAUGGAUGAAAACGAUGAACUCUGAAUGGUCUGGGCUUCACCAAAACACAUAACACCUUUUCCGAUCUUGCUUCACAUUGCAGAACAACUCAGGCUGGCAUUGUAGCAAGAUGCUUCUGCCCCACAUAAGCCAAGAUUUAAUAACAGAAUGAGAGAAUAAACUCUCAAUCCAAAGGUGUCAUUAUUUUUGUAAACUCCACUACUGUAAAGGAUACCAGGUUUAAUGGUUUAUAAAAUAGAGUUUCACCCUAAGUUUCAUUCACGGUUUUGGUAAUAACUCCCAGCGUGAAUGAGAAAAUUGCUGUACCCCUCUGUGAGUCAGUUUCCACAUACACAAAACAGAAAUAAUGAAGCUUGGUUGUCAUUAAGGCUCCUUAAGAUCUCCAGAUGAAAGAUACCGGAUGCGUCCAAGACAAUUAUUCACCAGUAUACUAUGAAAAAUUCUCAGAGGAGAAGGAGUUGGUCACAGCUCAACAGUGUACUUGGAAGUAAGUGGGUCCUUCCAGUUGUGGCAUGUGGGAUGCUGCCUCAGCAUGGCCUGAUGAGCAGUGCCAUGUCCACGCCCAGGAUCCAAACCGGCAAAACCCUGGGCUGCCAAAGCGGAGCGCUUGAACUUCACCACUCGGCCAUGGGACUGGCCCUCCUCCUUUGGUGCUUUUAACAUCCAAAAAAAUGGGUCUGUUAUGUGUCCAGAGCACAUUAGUGACUUACCGUCUUUUACCAUUCACCAUGUGAAGAGUAAUUUCCUACUGUUCCACUUUCCAAACACUUUGGUCCAGCAAACUAGAAACUGUAUGGGAUGCAUUGUUCACAGAGGAAAACAUGCCAUCCCCGCCUCUGAGCUCUGUUGGUACCAUUCCACCUCCCCUCUCCUCUCCCUCCCAGUCCUCCCCAUCCCACCCAUCCUGGAAGGUAGUCUCCUUCCAAUCCAGUUUCCUAUGUCCUGCUUUCUUUCCAAAUUCACUUGAACAUUGUACUGGUUCUCUGGUAGAUACGAAAAGGAACUGAGUUUGCGAAAGGAUACGAAAGAUACGAAAAGGAACUACACAGAGUUUGCAAUCAAGAAUUGAUGAUUGAAUAAGUACUCAGUGUUAGUUUACUGAUCAAAUAAUCGAAUGAAUAUAUACAUGAAAAAACACAAAGAAUUGUAAUUCAAGAAAGAAAAAAAGAGGAAGGAAAUAUAUUGUGACAAACACCAGAAGCUGAAUGCCAGUGACCAGUCUUCACAUCUUUCCAUUUCUUGUUGAGAUUCUCACUGACAGUGUUUAAACAGGGCUGGGCUGUUUACACACAAUCGUUGUUCGCAGUGGCCCAGCAGAACCUGUAAGGGACAUAUAUCACACAUCACCCCAAUGCAGAGGAGGUGUGAGCCACAAGUCUGAAGGACAAGGGCAAACCCUGCUUUCAUCUGCUCCACCGCAACCCUCAAAGAAGUGCUGAGACUUCACAGCCAGAGUGGAGAGCUGAGAGCUAGGAGGAGCUCAGCAGAGUGGAGAUGCUCUGGAAGCUGGACACCGGCAUCGUAACUUUCUGUUGUCGGAAGUGGUGCGAAUUCCCAGAGCAUUGGAGGUGUCAGCCCUCAAAAAUACUCUACACUCUCAUUCCAAGACAACAUGAAAUUGACUUAGGGAUGAGUACAGCAACGCUCCCUCCCAAUGCCUCAAAGAAUAAGAGCCUGCUCUAAAGGCUUACUCUCUGGUAGCAUCCUUUAGUGCAAUUCACAGUGGUCCUUAGUGGAACUCUUUAUUCAUCAAAAAAAAAAAACAGGUUGAAUGCCUACCAUGCAUCACAGUCUGGGAAACUCGGAGAUAGGGAGGAAAGGUCAUUUGACUUCAUGAUUUGGGGAGGAAAAUGAUAUGUAUACGCAAGACCUGGCAAGGAGUAAGUGCUCAGCUUAUUUAAUGCCUGAAAGAAGGGUUGAAUGAAUGAAUGAACAUAAGGUCAUAAAUGCAAGCAAGCCCCACGGUACAGAAAAGAGCCCAGAAUUUGGAGUGUAAAGGUAAAGUUGACAUCCCAGCUAGCCCACUUUCCAGCUGGGUAUUAGGCUGGAUACUUCUGCUUGUUCCAAAUUCAUUGUCCACCCUGCUUUGUGCCCCAAGGGCUGACCUCCAUGGACUGCCUCCCCUGGGCUCCCUUGCUGCCUGUUUUCUGGCUGGGCUCCCUUGCCAUCUGUCUUCUGGCUGGGCUCAGCCAAAGGGAGUCCCUGGAAAGAGAUUGGGAGAGAGCAGUGUUUCUUCCCCUCUGCCCUGGCUUGUCUUCUAGCAGCAGCUGUGCACCCAACAUCUACAGCUCCCCACUUACUUCAUUCCAUUCUCCCUGGGCUGCAGGAACAUGGCGUCCUCCCCUUGCCCUUGUGGUCUUAGCUUCUCCUAUUGCUGAUGUCUGGGUGCCUCAAUAUGCUUUGUUUUCCUUUAAUCCUGUCUACACCU
Long non-coding RNA from Equus caballus (horse), 3462 nucleotides. The record is from Ensembl. Lineage: Eukaryota; Metazoa; Chordata; Mammalia; Perissodactyla; Equidae.